GAGAAAGAAGCAUGAGUGGUCUAUGCGACUGGCUUGAAACCAGUAUGUGGGGGUUCGAUUCCUUCCUUUCUUG
This 73-nucleotide transfer RNA is filed under the name Balaeniceps rex (shoebill). It matches the Rfam family "tRNA". From Rfam's summary of the family: Transfer RNA (tRNA) molecules are approximately 80 nucleotides in length. Their secondary structure includes four short double-helical elements and three loops (D, anti-codon, and T loops). RNAcentral also lists the same sequence under 3 other names. The record is from Rfam by way of RNAcentral. Lineage: Eukaryota; Metazoa; Chordata; Aves; Pelecaniformes; Balaenicipitidae.